This is a non-coding RNA of Asparagus officinalis (garden asparagus), 74 nucleotides long. The record is from the annotation of a RefSeq genome assembly. Lineage: Eukaryota; Viridiplantae; Streptophyta; Magnoliopsida; Asparagales; Asparagaceae.
GGCCUAUUAGCUCAGAUGGUUAGAGCAUUGUUCUAACGACACGAAGGUCGCAGGUUCGAGGCCUUCAUGGGCCA